CGAAUGAAGAAAUUCGAAAAAUUUCGCGAGAUUAACUUUCGGGAAUGAAGAAACCCACAAAUUUUUGCGAGAUAAACUUUCGCGAACAAGAAUUUUUCAGUUAAAAAAAACUCAAAAUUCUUAGCAUAAUUGAAAAUGUUAUAAAUUUUCUUUCUUAAAAUAAGAUUUAUAACUAUUUUGUGCGUUUUUGGUGAAAAAUGAUAAAAUAGCUUACUGGAUAAACUUUCGCGAAUGAAGAAAUUCGGAAACUUUCGCGAGAUAAAGUUUCGCGAAUGAAGAAAAUCGCACAUUUUCGCGAGACAAACUUUCGCGAAAAUGGCGAAAAAUCGUAAAUUCGCGAAAGUUUCUCCAAUUAAAGUAGUAUUUAUUUUGUACAAAACAUCUGGUUCCUCGAUUUGGUUAUAGAUGGUUUAAUUUGGCGAGUGUAUAAAAACCUUAAAUUUGAUGAUAGCAAAAACAAAAAAAUAGUGGUGUCAAAAUUGCCACUACCAUGCACAGACCUAAUAACGCCUACUUUUUAGAUAUUUUAUUUUUUUGUCGAUUGAAAACCCAGGAUGUAAAUAUACUGUUCGUUAUUUAGGAGAUAUACCGUUAGAUAUCAAUAUACGAGAAACAUCGGACAAGGGCGUGCCAAUUGUUUUCGCCGAUAGUACUUCCAUUCAGAGCCAAUGCUACCAUAAAAUAGCGCGAAGAUUGAUCGAGACAACAAGCUAGGGAAAGAAGAAUGACCAAACCGUGGAGAAAAACCAUAUGGGAUGGGUAACCGAGUCAAUUUGCUCCUGACGCGAGUGUAAGGAAUGUUUGGACAUAAUUCUUUGCUGGCCACACGGCAAAUAUAAAAACUGUUGUAUGAUAAAUAUUUUUUUAUUAAAUGUAUAUAUGAUAUUAAAAAUAAAAUAAAUAGUAGUAAAUAAUAUAA
Molecule: long non-coding RNA, 919 nt
Organism: Hydractinia symbiolongicarpus
Lineage: Eukaryota; Metazoa; Cnidaria; Hydrozoa; Anthoathecata; Hydractiniidae
Exons: 2
Source: RefSeq, a predicted model, not a curated record